UGAAACACUGGUUCCCAUAUGAUCACCUAAGUUAAGCAACAUCAAGCCUGGUCAGUACCUAGAUAGGUGAGUGGUUGGGAAUACCAGGUGCUGUAAG
This 97-nucleotide ribosomal RNA is filed under the name Acanthosepion pharaonis. The record is from RNAcentral. Lineage: Eukaryota; Metazoa; Mollusca; Cephalopoda; Sepiida; Sepiidae.